GCACGGACACACUGGAACUGAAACACGGUCCAGACUCCUACGGGAGGCAGCAGUGGGGAAUUUUGCGCAAUGGGGGAAACCCUGAUGCAGCGACGCCGCGUGAGCGAUGAAGCCCUUCGGGGUGUAAAGCUCUUUCGGCAGGGAAGAUAAUGACGGUACCUGCAGAAGCAGCUGCGGCUAACUACGUGCCAGCAGUCGCGGUAAUACGUAGGCAGCAAGCGUUGUUCGGAGUUACUGGGCGUAAAGGGUGCGUAGGCGGUCCUAUAAGUAUGGUGUGAAAUCUCCCGGCUUAACUGGGAGGGUGCGCUAUAGACUGUGGGACUAGAGUGUGGGAGAGGAAAGUGGAAUUCCUGGUGUAGCGGUGAAAUGCGUAGAUAUCAGGAGGAACACCGGUGGUGUAAACGGCUUUCUGGACCAUAACUGACGCUGAGGCACGAAAGCGUGGGUAGCAAACAGGAUUAGAUACCCUGGUAGUCCACGCUGUAAACGAUGUGUGCUGGAUGUUGGGCGACCUAGUCGCUCAGUGUCGUAGCUAACGCGAUAAGCACACCGCCUGGGGAGUACGGCCGCAAGGUUGA
RNAcentral lists this ribosomal RNA (578 nucleotides) under uncultured soil bacterium. RNAcentral's name for it is "bacterial SSU rRNA". It matches the Rfam family "Bacterial small subunit ribosomal RNA", at positions 302 to 897 of the family's 1533-position model. The record is from RNAcentral.